GGGGCUUAGUGUGUCUCCUUGUUUAACCCCUCUAGCAAUAUUAAAAUAUUCUGAUACAUAAUCUUUAUAUUUUAAAGAUGAUUUAGUAUUUAAGUAUUGUUGUUUUAUAAACUCUAUAAAAAGACUUGCCAACUCCCAUUUUACAUAAUUUAUAAAGUAAAGCAGUUCUCCAUACUGAAUCAAAAGCCUUUUUCAGAUCUAUGAAGCAGGCAUAAAUCUUUUUUUUCUCUUUAUGUAAAUAUUUAUUAAUCAAGGACUUUAAUAAAAAGAUGCUAUCAGCUGUUCUGUGAUUUUCUCUGAAAACCAAACUGACAAUCACUUAAUUGUUUGUCAACAAUCUUGAUUAGUCCUAUUAUUUAAUAUGGCAUUAAAAAUUUUUGGUAGAUUACUUAUAA
RNAcentral lists this long non-coding RNA (395 nucleotides) under Mytilus galloprovincialis (Mediterranean mussel). The record is from RNAcentral. Lineage: Eukaryota; Metazoa; Mollusca; Bivalvia; Mytilida; Mytilidae.